Long non-coding RNA from Gorilla gorilla gorilla (western lowland gorilla), 898 nucleotides. RefSeq lists it as uncharacterized. NCBI's taxonomy places the organism in Eukaryota, Metazoa, Chordata, Mammalia, Primates, Hominidae. The transcript has 4 exons. The record is from RefSeq and is a predicted model, not a curated record.
GAUGUCCCCAGAGGCCAAAUAGCUGGCCCACGGAUGGUAACCAACACUGUUAGGAUGAGGUGAGCCCAUCAGGUGGCAGCCUCCCAACUGUCAUGGUCUCCGCUCACUCGGCAGAUAUCGAGUCCAUGACUUCAAGGCCCACGCCACGGAGCUGCCCCACGAGGCUGUGGGAGAGCCCUGGCCUGAGAGUCGGCUCAGCUCUCUACUAUCUCACCAUGCGACCUGGGAUAGUGAGGCCUUUCCCCUCCUCGUGCCUCAGUUUCCCCAUCUGUUCCAUGAAGACGUGACAUAAAGGUCCUGACCUCUGAGAGCCCUUUCAAUUCUCUGAGACCCUCCAGGCAGUUUAAAAGACAACUACAUUAAGGAAUACAGUCAUGGACUGUUAAUGACAGAGAUGCAUUCCGAGAAAUGCACCAUUAGGUGAUUUUGAUAUUGUACAAACAGCAGAGUGUACUUACGCAAACCUAGAUCCUACAGCCUACUACAUACCAAAGCUAUACAGUACAGCCUAUCACUACAGGCUACAAACCUGUACAGCAUGUUAUCGUACUGAAUACUCCAGGCAAUCGUAACACAAUGGGUCCACAGCCUUGAAUGAGCUGGAGAGAAGCGGCACAGGAAGAGGAAGACUCACACGAGGGAACCUGGCACAGCCCCAGACUGCACGCUUGGCAUACAUCCUCUCUCAUCCGCAGAACCACCAGCAGAGGGGAGGAAGGCAGAACCACCAGCAGAGGGGAGGAAGGCACCACCACCCUCCAUUACACAGGAAAGUCACCUGCCCUCCGUCUCACACCUGGGAGGCAGGUGGUCACUCAGUUUAUCAAUCACACUGGCCAUGUGAGUACGCAACCAAAAUCCCUGGACACCAACAGCGCCCCAUCAGACAGUGCCAGAG